GAGAGAGGUGAACCAAGUGCGUCGGGGGGGCUUGAAAUAGCCAAAAGGAUGGGGUGGGGGCGGUUUUACCGAGCCUUUUUCGUCCCGAUUCCUGAUUUUUUUUUUCUUCCUUUCUCCCCCCAGUUGGGCUUCAAACAAGGUUCCCCCCCUCCUUCUUUUUCUUUUUUUUUUUUUUCCCUCUCUUCCCAGCAAGAUGCAAACACGUCUGCCGUGGAGGAAAUUAAACGUCAUAAAGAAAAGCCCAAUUAAGGUUUAAUGUCUGAACAUUACCAUUUCCUCCAGAAAACAAUGAAGUUCACUCGCCUCUGCCUUAGACGCUACUCAAAGGGCAAAAGAAAAAUUGUGCUGGACAGCCAGCGCUGGGAUGGAUGGAAGGCGAAAAUCUGCGCAUUUAUCUUCUGCAACCGAGAUCUGCCUUUGGAAAACGUCGCCCCGCGGAGCAACUGAAGGAUUUUGCUUCAUUUUAUUCUGAUUAAUGCGGGUAUGGAAGAGAGAGCCCAGCGCCGCCGCGCCC
Molecule: long non-coding RNA, 514 nt
Organism: Cygnus olor (mute swan)
Lineage: Eukaryota; Metazoa; Chordata; Aves; Anseriformes; Anatidae
Exons: 3
Source: RefSeq, a predicted model, not a curated record